GAUGAACGCUGGCGGCGUGCCUAAUACAUGCAAGUCGAACGGGAGCCACUGAAUACGUUUGGUGGUGAGAGUGGCGGACGGGUGAGUAACACGUAGCUGACCUGCCCUUUGCUGGGGGAUAACCCGGGGAAACCCGGGCUAAUACCGCGUAAGCUCGCUAGUCUUAGAAGCUAGUGAGGAAAGUGUGUGGCAACGGCGAAGGAGGGGGCUGCGGGCCAUCAGCUGGUUGGUGAGGUAACGGCUCACCAAGGCGAAGACGGCUAGGGGACCUGAGAGGGUGACCCCCCACACUGGGACUGAGACACGGCCCAGACUCCUACGGGAGGCAGCAGUAAGGAAUAUUGCCCAAUGGACGCCAGUCUGAGGCAGCAACGCCGCGUGGAGGAUGACGGUCUUCGGAUUGUAAACUCCUUUUCUGUGUGAAGAGACAGGACGGUAGCACAGGAAGAAGUCUCGGCUAACUACGUGCCAGCAGCCGCGGUAAAACGUAGGAGGCGAGCGUUAUCCGGAGUUACUGGGCGUAAAGCGCGCGUAGGCGGUGAAGCAAGUGGUGCGUGAAAGCUCCCGGCUCAACUGGGAGAGGCCGUACCAAACUGUUUGACUAGAGAGAGACAGAGGUCGACGGAAUUCCGGGUGGAGUGGUGAAAUGCGUAGAGAUCCGGAGGAACACCAGUGGCGAAGGCGGUCGGCUAGGUCUCAUCUGACGCUGAGGUGCGAAAGCGUGGGUAGCGAACGGGAUUAGAAACCCCGGUAGU
This 755-nucleotide ribosomal RNA is filed under the name uncultured Chloroflexota bacterium. RNAcentral's name for it is "bacterial SSU rRNA". It matches the Rfam family "Bacterial small subunit ribosomal RNA", at positions 28 to 794 of the family's 1533-position model. The record is from RNAcentral. Lineage: Bacteria; Bacillati; Chloroflexota.